AUUGAACGCUGGCGGCAGGCCUAACACAUGCAAGUCGAGCGGAUGAAGGGAGCUUGCUCCUGGAUUCAGCGGCGGACGGGUGAGUAAUGCCUAGGAAUCUGCCUGGUAGUGGGGGAUAACGUCCGGAAACGGGCGCUAAUACCGCAUACGUCCUGAGGUAGAAAGUGGGGGAUCUUCGGACCUCACGCUAUCAGAUGAGCCUAGGUCGGAUUAGCUAGUUGGUGGGGUAAAGGCCUACCAAGGCGACGAUCCGUAACUGGUCUGAGAGGAUGAUCAGUCACACUGGAACUGAGACACGGUCAAGACUCCUAAGGGAGGCAGCAGUGGGGAAUAUUGGACAAUGGGCGAAAGCCUGAUCCCGCCAUGCCGCGUGUGUGAAGAAGGUCUUCGGAUUGUAAGGCACUUUAAGUUGGGAGGAAGGGCAGUAAGUUAAUACCUUGCUGUUUUGACGUUACCAACAGCAUCAGCACCGGCUAACUUCGUG
Molecule: ribosomal RNA, 484 nt
Filed under: uncultured bacterium
Lineage: Bacteria
Description: partial 16S ribosomal RNA
Rfam family: Bacterial small subunit ribosomal RNA
Source: RNAcentral